Molecule: ribosomal RNA, 660 nt
Filed under: uncultured bacterium
Lineage: Bacteria
Description: bacterial SSU rRNA
Rfam family: Bacterial small subunit ribosomal RNA
Source: RNAcentral
AGUGGCGGACGGGUGAGUAACGCGUGAGAAUCUGCCUUGGGGUCGGGGACAACCACUGGAAACGGUGGCUAAUACCGGAUAAGCCGAUUGGUGAAAGAUUUAUUGCCCGAAGAGUAGCUCGCGUCUGAUUAGCUAGUUGGUGAGGUAAGAGCUCACCAAGGCAGCGAUCAGUAGCUGGUCUGAGAGGACGAUCAGCCACACUGGGACUGAGACACGGCCCAGACUCCUACGGGAGGCAGCAGUGGGGAAUUUUCCGCAAUGGGCGAAAGCCUGACGGAGCAAGACCGCGUGAGGGAGGAAGGCUCUUGGGUUGUAAACCUCUUUUCUCAGGGAAGAAGCUCUGACGGUACCUGAGGAAUCAGCCUCGGCUAACUCCGUGCCAGCAGCUGCGGUAAUACGGAGGAGGCAAGCGUUAUCCGGAAUUAUUGGGCGUAAAGCGUCCGCAGGUGGCGAUUCAAGUCUGCUGUCAAAGCACGGGGCUUAACUCCGUAAAGGCAGUGGAAACUGAAUAGCUAGAGUGCCGUAGGGGUAGAGGGAAUUCCCGGUGUAGCGGUGAAAUGCGUAGAGAUCGGGAAGAACAUCGGUGGCGAAAGCGCUCUACUGGACGGCAACUGACACUCAGGGACGAAAGCUAGGGGAGCGAAUGGGAUUAGAUACCCC